CCUACGGGAGGCAGCAGUAAGGAAUAUUGCGCAAUGGGCGAAAGCCUGACGCAGCGACGCCGCGUGGGGGAUGAAGGUCUUCGGAUUGUAAACCCCUUUCGGGAGGGAAGAUGGAGCGAGCAAUCGUUCGGACGGUACCUCCAGAAGCAGCCACGGCCAACUUCGUGCCAGCAGCCGCGGUAAUACGAAGGUGGCAAGCGUUGUUCGGAUUCACUGGGCGUACAGGGUGUGUAGGCGGUUUGGUAAGCCUUCUGUUAAAGCUUCGGGCCCAACCCGGAAAGCGCAGAGGGUACUGCCAGGCUAGAGGGUGGGAGAGGAGCGCGGAAUUCCCGGUGUAGCGGUGAAAUGCGUAGAGAUCGGGAGGAAGGCCGGUGGCGAAGGCGGCGCUCUGGAACAUACCUGACGCUGAGACACGAAAGCGUGGGGAGCAAACAGGAUUAGAUACCCUGGUAGUCCACGCCCUAAACUAUGGAUACUAAGUGUCGGCGGGUUACCGCCGGUGCCGCAGCUAACGCAUUAAGUAUCCCGCCUGG
This 533-nucleotide ribosomal RNA is filed under the name uncultured Nitrospirota bacterium. RNAcentral's name for it is "bacterial SSU rRNA". It matches the Rfam family "Bacterial small subunit ribosomal RNA", at positions 338 to 876 of the family's 1533-position model. Lineage: Bacteria; Pseudomonadati; Nitrospirota. The record is from RNAcentral.